Molecule: non-coding RNA, 1189 nt
Organism: Penaeus vannamei (Pacific white shrimp)
Lineage: Eukaryota; Metazoa; Arthropoda; Malacostraca; Decapoda; Penaeidae
Source: RefSeq, a predicted model, not a curated record
CCCUGAUGAAGGUCAUUCAGCUGUAGAGUGCAAAGGACCUCGCGCUGCUUUAUCGACGGGAGUUGGCUUUGUGUUUGCUUUGCGCUUUUUGCUUGUGUCUGAUCCAUUUUUGUGAAAUGUUUUAUGGUUCUUCUGUGUUAGGCUGAACAAUGUUGUUGGGUGUGGUAUGUGUUUCUUUAUGUUGAUCGAAUGCAAUGGCGGGAAUUUUUGUUGUCUUAACUUUUUGCUGUUUCAUUUUGUUUCUAGCUCAUAGUUCUAUUUUAGAAAAUUAUACACUUAAUGUUGCCGCCAGAAGUCAGAUAAAGCGAUUAUCUUAUUAGAAAUCAAUAGAAAUCUACUCGUUCUACCUCUAACUGAGAUGAAACUUCAUCAGUGGCUUUACCUGGAGAUCGUUUGUAUUCCAUAAAGAACUGCUUUGUUCUCCCUCUUUCAUACAUCUCAGGACUGCCUCUGUUCUCUUCCCAGUCUCGGGAGUGCUGUCAAAAGUAAUGAAGCGAAUCGGUUGUUUCCCCAUUAUAUUCCCCCGAAGGGAACUGCCUCGACGCGUGUGUGUGAGGGAAGCGACGGGCGGCAGAAAGCCAUCCGUGAUGAAGGGGACACCGUGAAGGACGUCGCUCGAAGGCUACGUAGAGGCACCGAGGCUUAUGGAAAGGGAUUGUCCAGGCGCCCUCGGGUACUCUGUCUUCCCCGGGCCGUUCCUUUCUCACGCGGCUGACGCUUCGGUCGAGUCGAUCGCCCGGGCUGGCCGGCUCAGUCAUCGCCAUUAUUCUCCACCAGAUUGCCGAGUUAGAUGAGGAGAAAAAAGGAUACAUGGUCCCCGUAGACAACGAUCCAAGAGAACCAGUCAUUCCUUCUUCAGCAGGAACAUACCCCGAUGUAAGGUCUGUGAGAAUGAAUUAGACGAUCGCGCCAAGGCCUGGGGGAGGCGCUGCAGAAGGUAUCCACGUGGAAAGAAUCACACACACCAACAAUACAAGACGCUCUGUUUUCUUCACGACCCGCUGUGAUGUUUCGGGCUCUCGCACAAAGCACAGUCUUGUCACUGGAUAUCGACCUAGCCUUGACUUCUGCCUCUCUGUUUUUGCAAUCACGGACUCCAUUGCAUCGGGAGGCAUGCAACAGCCACCAUCAUCUGCAACGCGCUCAACAGGGGAAAGAGCAAUUUUCGUUGGGCCUUUGCAGCAUCUGC